GGAGUAUGGACCGUGUCUCAGUUCCAUUGUGGCCGUUCACCCUCUCAGGUCGGCUACACAUCUUCGCCUUGGUGGGCCGUUACCUCACCAACUAGCUAAUGUGCCGCAGGUCCAUCUAAGAGUGGUGCAAACGCACCUUUCAAGCGGAGACGAUGCCGUCCCCGUUGUUAUCCGGUAUUAGCCGAACUUUCGUCCGGGUAUCCCAGUCUCAAAGGCAGGUUACCUACGUGUUACUCACCCGUUCGCCGCUCGGGUAUUGCUACCCUCGCUCGACUUGCAUGUAUUAGGCACGCCGCCAGCGUUCAUCCUGAGCCACUGAUCAAACUCU
Molecule: ribosomal RNA, 328 nt
Filed under: uncultured Anaeroplasmataceae bacterium
Lineage: Bacteria; Bacillati; Mycoplasmatota; Mollicutes; Anaeroplasmatales; Anaeroplasmataceae
Description: partial 16S ribosomal RNA
Source: RNAcentral